This 477-nucleotide ribosomal RNA is filed under the name uncultured bacterium. RNAcentral's name for it is "bacterial SSU rRNA". It matches the Rfam family "Bacterial small subunit ribosomal RNA", at positions 30 to 496 of the family's 1533-position model. The record is from RNAcentral.
UGAACGCUGGCGGCAGGCCUAACACAUGCAAGUCGAGCGGCAGCGGGAUCUAGCUUGCUAAAUUGCCGGCGAGCGGCGGACGGGUGAGUAACGCGUAGGAAUCUACCGGAUAGUGGGGGACAACCAGUGGAAACGCUGGCUAAUACCGCAUACGCCCUACGGGGGAAAGCAGGGGAUCUUAGGACCUUGCGCUAUUCGAUGAGCCUGCGUGAGAUUAGCUUGUUGGUGAGGUAAAGGCUCACCAAGGCGACGAUCUCUANCUGGUCUGAGAGGAUGAUCAGCCACACUGGGACUGAGACACGGCCCAGACUCCUACGGGAGGCAGCAGUGGGGAAUAUUGCACAAUGGGCGCAAGCCUGAUGCAGCCAUGCCGCGUGUGUGAAGAAGGCCUUCGGGUUGUAAAGCACUUUCAGCAGUGAGGAAAGGUUAGUAGUUAAUACCUGCUAGCUGUGACGUUUACUGCAGAAGAAGCACCGG